Molecule: ribosomal RNA, 519 nt
Filed under: uncultured eukaryote
Lineage: Eukaryota
Description: SSU rRNA
Rfam family: Eukaryotic small subunit ribosomal RNA
Source: RNAcentral
AGGGCACCACCAGGAGUGGAGCCUGCGGCUUAAUUUGACUCAACACGGGGAAACUCACCCGGCCCGGACACCGGAAGGAUUGACAGAUUGAUAGCUCUUUCUUGAUUCGGUGGAUGGGGGUGCAUGGCCGUUCUUAGUUGGUGGAGCGAUCUGUCUGGUUAAUUCCGAUAACGAACGAGACUCUAGCCUAUUAAAUAGACGUCGGGUUCUCUGCACUCGACGGUCUUCUUAGAGGGACAAGGUGCUUUUAGCACCGCGAAACAGAGCAAUAACAGGUCUGUGAUGCCCUUAUAUGUCCGGGGCCGCACGCGCGCUACACUGAAGGAAGCAGCGUGUAACAACCUUGUUCUAACGAACUGGGUAACCCGUGGAACUUCCUUCAUGAUUGGGAUAGGGGUUUGCAAUUGUGCCCCUUGAACGAGGAAUUCCCAGUAAACACUAGUCAUCAGCUAGUGCUGAUUACGUCCCUGCCCCUUGUACACACCGCCCGUCGCUACUACCGAUUGAAUGGCUUAGUGA